AAUUAAUGAACUUGAUAAAGUAUAUAUUUUGAAAAUAUAUUAAAGUAAUAUAAUUUACUAUUAAUUU
Molecule: transfer RNA, 67 nt
Filed under: Omoglymmius wukong
Lineage: Eukaryota; Metazoa; Arthropoda; Insecta; Coleoptera; Carabidae
Description: tRNA-Ser
Source: RNAcentral